GGGCGAAUAGCUCAGUUGGUUAGAGCAUCUCGUUUACACCGAGAGGGUCGGGGGUUCGAGUCCCUCUUCGCCCA
This 74-nucleotide transfer RNA is filed under the name Planctomycetaceae bacterium. Its description in RNAcentral is "tRNA-Val". It matches the Rfam family "tRNA". From Rfam's summary of the family: Transfer RNA (tRNA) molecules are approximately 80 nucleotides in length. Their secondary structure includes four short double-helical elements and three loops (D, anti-codon, and T loops). Lineage: Bacteria; Pseudomonadati; Planctomycetota; Planctomycetia; Planctomycetales; Planctomycetaceae. RNAcentral also lists the same sequence under 3 other names. The record is from RNAcentral.